AAUAGAUACCCUGGUAGUCCACGCCGUAAACGUUGGGCGCUAGAUGUGGGGACCAUUCCACGGUUUCCGCGUCGUAGCUAACGCAUUAAGCGCCCCCGCCUGGGGAGUACGGCCGCAAGGCUAAAACUCAAAGGAAUUGACGGGGGGCCCGCACAAGCGGCGGAGCAUGCGGAUUAAUUCGAUGCAACGCGAAGAACCUUACCAAGGCUUGACAUAUGCGAGAACGCUCUAGAAAUAGAGAACUCUUUGGACACUCGUAUACAGGUGGUGCAUGGUUGUCGUCAGCUCGUGUCGUGAGAUGUUGGGUUAAGUCCCGCAACGAGCGCAACCCUCGUCGCAUGUUGCCAGCACGUAAUGGUGGGAACUCAUGUGAGACUGCCGGGGUCAACUCGGAGGAAGGUGGGGAUGACGUCAAAUCAUCAUGCCCCUUAUGUCUUGGGCUUCACGCAUGCUACAAUGGCCGGUACAAAGGGCUGCGAAACCGCAAGGUGGAGCGAAUCCCAAAAAGCCGGUCUCAGUUCGGA
This 524-nucleotide ribosomal RNA is filed under the name uncultured bacterium. Its description in RNAcentral is "bacterial SSU rRNA". It matches the Rfam family "Bacterial small subunit ribosomal RNA", at positions 777 to 1297 of the family's 1533-position model. The record is from RNAcentral.